UACGGAGGGAGCUAGCGUUGUUCGGAAUUACUGGGCGUAAAGCGCACGUAGGCGGCUUUUUAAGUCAGGGGUGAAAUCCCGAGGCUCAACCUCGGAACUGCCUUUGAUACUGGAUGUCUUGAGUGUGAGAGAGGUGAGUGGAACUCCGAGUGUAGAGGUGAAAUUCGUAGAUAUUCGGAAGAACACCAGUGGCGAAGGCGACUCACUGGCUCAUUACUGACGCUGAGGCUCGAAAGCGUGGGGAGCAAACAGG
Molecule: ribosomal RNA, 253 nt
Filed under: uncultured bacterium
Lineage: Bacteria
Description: partial 16S ribosomal RNA
Rfam family: Bacterial small subunit ribosomal RNA
Source: RNAcentral